GUGAAUAGCCAGGACCAUCUUCACGCUUCGAUUUUGCUGCCAAGGAAAGUUUUCUAUUAGUGUGUGAAAACUGUUAUAUCAGCUACAGAGAUUUUACUCAUUAUUAUUAUGUGAAUAUUGAAAGAUUAGUCACUUUUGCCCAAAAUCACAGGCUAAUUAAAAGUGAACAAAUUUGCCCGACAUGUCAGUCAGUGUCGUCUUGAUUACAACAAAAAAUUUGCCUUUCGGUGUGAUAAAAUACGGGAGACACAAGAAACAUUUUGUAGGGUAUUUAGCAGUGUUUUAUUUUAAACUACAGAUACAAGACCCUUUACGAAGGCUACACGCUUUUGCCAAAGCUACUGCUGCAUUGUAUCCUCCACUCUUAAGGUAGUACACUUCGUUUUCAUCUUUACAUCAUUCCAAGACAGAACUUGAUCCUGGUCCACUAGUACUUGCCCCUUUUUGUUCUACUAAUUAAGAACCAGCAAGAAGAAUAUCGAAAAACAAGGAGUAAUCUCCAGAUUACCAAUUUCUUCCCGAGAGUCAAGGAUUGCUUUUGGGAAGCUAGAAGUCAAGGACUUGCCUUCCCUACGGUAUAUUCGCAUAAUUGAUUAUAUGAAAUUUAGGCCGUAGCAUCAAGCACUGGACUUUCUUUUGGGCAUUCGGCACUGAGAUAGUGGAAAAAAAAAAAAAAAAAAGAGUUGGAGUCAUUAGAGAGCAAGAUGAAGAGAUCCAGGAAAUAAAAAAGGAAGCUGGAAUUGAGGUGGAGCUGUCGCCCCCAGUCAACAAGAUCAACAAGGACGGCAGCACAUAACAUCGUGAAUUUCACUCCUGGACCAACACAGGAGGCACAAAGGGCAGACUUUCUAGAAAAAGCAAAGAUGUUGAUGAACGAUGAAAUUAUUCAAGAAAUAGUACAGUGUACUAACAAAAGGAUCGAAGCUGAAGCUACACAUUAUCAAAAGCAGAGAUCAACAAUCGGCCAAACGGAACCAAAUGAGGUGAAGGCUCUUCUUGGUAUAUAUUGAUCUUGAGUGGUUGUCAGAGAAAUGUGGAAUCCUCAGACUGGAUCUUACCGGGCUGCUAUGUCAGAAGAUUGGCUCAAUUUUCUUCUUAAUUGCUUAAGAUUUGAUGACCCAACUACAAGACAGGCAAGACGAGCACAUGAUAAAUUUGCCUCAAUAAGGAAGGUUUGGGAAACAUUUAUCAAGAACAGUGAGAGGAUGUAUGUCCCUACUGAACAUUUAACUAUAGAUGGGGUUAUUUUGGUUCAAAAAUAACCACAAAAAAUUAUGGAAAGUAUCACAGUGAAAACCAGUAUUUUUUACUUUCAAAAAAAUAACCUUUUUUUGAUGUUCUCCCCUACGGCUCAUAAUGGUUAAGUAAGGUUGGAACUUCUAGAGCUGAGCUCCAUAAUACUUGAGAGUGAAUGUAGCAACACAGAAAUGUUCAGGAUAAAAAAAAAAAUAUAUAUAUAUUU
Macrobrachium nipponense is the source of this 1462-nucleotide long non-coding RNA. RefSeq lists it as uncharacterized. The record is from RefSeq and is a predicted model, not a curated record. The transcript has 4 exons. Lineage: Eukaryota; Metazoa; Arthropoda; Malacostraca; Decapoda; Palaemonidae.